UACGUAAGCGCUUUGCUGAUGUGGCAACAAAUCGCGUCCACGAGGAGGCGAUUUGUUGCCACGUCAGCAAAGCGUGUUGACGUGG
Molecule: non-coding RNA, 85 nt
Organism: Gossypium raimondii (Peruvian cotton)
Lineage: Eukaryota; Viridiplantae; Streptophyta; Magnoliopsida; Malvales; Malvaceae
Source: Rfam